Molecule: long non-coding RNA, 520 nt
Filed under: Zea mays
Lineage: Eukaryota; Viridiplantae; Streptophyta; Magnoliopsida; Poales; Poaceae
Description: long non-coding RNA NONZMAT001799
Source: RNAcentral
ACCAGGCGAGUGUGGCGUCUUCCACGGGCGGCCCUAACCAACUCCUGAAGACUACAAAUUGAGGGCCUCCUUGUCCUCGCUCGCGCCAGCACUGUUCACCGGAAUCCCUGUGCCCAUGGUGAGAACAUAGUGAGAGAGAGAGCGAGGCGGGAGGCGCCGCCAUGGGGCCUGCAUACGCGUCGAACUCAGGACCACGGCUUGGGGCCAGGGUGCUUCGCCAUGCUGCGCGAGACUCGACCGUGGCCUUGCUUGGGCGAUGCCGCGCUCUAGACUACCGGAAUUGCUCGCCAGGGCCUCUACGCCGCCGCGGGCCUGCCCUCCUUUCGUGGACCGGCCCCAUCACGACGCCUUCGCCGGUGAGAACCUUCUCAACAUUUUCACCGACCUCUCCUUAGUGUGUAGCGUCGUUCUGUUAGUGCAAUUGCUCUCUUGGGCAUCGGUUUUGGAUUUCCCAGGCGGGGCCUCCGCCGUCGCACUUGGGCUGCGCGGCCGCCCUGUUGUUCAGAGGAAGGAGACAUAG